UUUUUACGGAGAGUUUGAUCCUGGCUCAGGACGAACGCUGGCGGCGUGCUUAACACAUGCAAGUCGAACGAUGAAGCCUA
Molecule: ribosomal RNA, 80 nt
Filed under: Rathayibacter rathayi
Lineage: Bacteria; Bacillati; Actinomycetota; Actinomycetes; Micrococcales; Microbacteriaceae
Description: partial 16S ribosomal RNA
Rfam family: Bacterial small subunit ribosomal RNA
Source: RNAcentral